This 564-nucleotide ribosomal RNA is filed under the name uncultured fungus. Its description in RNAcentral is "eukaryotic LSU rRNA". The stretch from base 218 to 371 matches the Rfam family "5.8S ribosomal RNA". Lineage: Eukaryota; Fungi. The record is from RNAcentral.
AAGUCGUAACAAGGUCUCCGUAGGUGAACCUGCGGAGGGAUCAUUACCGAGUGGAGGGCGCUUGGCCGCCCGAACCUCCCAACCCUUUGAUUUGAUCAACGACCUCCUUCUGCCUCGGGGGCGACCCGGACCUUCGGGACGGCGGUCCCCCCGGCGGUACACCUCCAACUCUGCAUCAAUUGUCGUCCUGAGUACCAUUGAAAGCGAAUUCAAUCAAAACUUUCAACAACGGAUCUCUUGGUUCUGGCAUCGAUGAAGAACGCAGCGAAAUGCGAUAAGUAAUGUGAAUUGCAGAAUUCAGUGAAUCAUCGAAUCUUUGAACGCACAUUGCGCCCUUUGGCAUUCCGAAGGGCAUGCCUGUUCGAGCGUCAUUACACCAAUCACGCCUGGCGUGGUAUUGGGCGACGGGGCCCCACCGCCCCGCGCCCAAAUGACCCCGGCGAGGACGGACCGAAUCUCAGCGUUGUGGAAACAGGCCGCUGGCGAGACGGGACGGCCUGCGCGCUUAAACACCCCCCAUCACAGGUUGACCUCGGAUCAGGUAGGGAUACCCGCUGAACUUAA